AUACGGAGGGUGCAAGCGUUAUUCGGAAUCACUGGGCGUAAAGGACGCGUAGGCGGGUUGGCAAGUCAGAUGUGAAAUCCUACAGCUUAACUGUAGAACUGCAUUUGAAACUGCUAACCUAGAGUAUGGGAGGGGGAGAUGGAAUUAGUGGUGUAGGGGUAAAAUCCGUAGAUAUCACUAGGAAUACCGAAAGCGAAGGCGAUCUCCUGGAACAUAACUGACGCUAAGGCGUGAAAGCGUGGGUAGCAAACAGGAUUAGAAACCCUUGUAGUCC
RNAcentral lists this ribosomal RNA (274 nucleotides) under uncultured bacterium. RNAcentral's name for it is "partial 16S ribosomal RNA". It matches the Rfam family "Bacterial small subunit ribosomal RNA", at positions 523 to 796 of the family's 1533-position model. The record is from RNAcentral.